GCCCGGCCCGGGACGCUCGGGAAACUUCGGAGCAGCCGUUCAGCUCCUUCCGGGAGUGGGGCAGUGCGAGCCGCCGCGACUCACCUGGAGCCGGGGCAGGCAGCGCCACGGCCCCUUUCCCCGCAGCGGCGAGGCUCUGGUGCCUGGGCCCGUAGCCGCCCCUCCCCCCGGAGCAUCGCCCAUCUGCCCCGCUGGGAACAUGGCGUCCGGCGGCUACCGGAGCAGCGGGGGCAGCACCACGGACUUUCUGGAGGAGUGGAAAGCCAAGCGGGAGAAGAUGCGGGCGAAGCAGGCGCCGCCGCUGCCGCCGGGGGCACCGGCCGGGACUGACGGCAAAGCCCCCGGGAGCGCUUCCUCGGCUGCCGAGCUCAACAGCACCCUGCACCCCGCCGGCCUGGCCGCUCCGCCGCACCCCCCGGAGCGGGGCGCCCCGUCCCCCAGCGGGGGCACGAAUUGUGUCCCCCUCUCCGCUAGAGCCGGCUCCAAGGAGCCCCCGCCCCCAGCCGGGGGCAGAGCGGCUGAGCCUGCGGGGAAGCCCCCCGCCGCGCCCGGCUCCCCGGAGGAGGAGAAGGCGGUGGCGAAGGGGAAAAGCUCCGGUCCCAGCGCCAGGAAGGGGAAGGGGCAGAUCGAGAAGAGGAAGCUGCGUGAGAAGAGGCGAUCGACAGGUGUGGUGAACAUCCCCGCCGCCGAGAGUCUAGAUGAAUAUGACGAUGAUGAAACAGGACAGAAGGAGCGAAAGAGGGAAGAUGCUAUUACACAGCAGAAUACAAUGCAGAAUGAAUCUGCCAGUGUAGACCCAGGUGGCUCAUACCUAAUACAGGAAUCCUCUAGGACAGUUUCAAGCAGAUAUAAAAGUGCAACUAAUGCACCUGAAGAUGAUGGUCCAAAUCGAUAUUCCCGAACAGACAGGACAGGAUAUAGCAGAUACAGCAGGGAUGCAAAUUCUUCUGGGAAUUCUGUACCAGGCAGUGCUUUGGAAAAGAGGAUUGAAGAACUUGAAAGGGAACUAGCCAAGGAGAGGCAAGAAAAUGUAAGAUUAUUGAGGAUGACACAGGACAAAGAGGAACAGAUUGGGAAAUUGAAGGAAGAAAUUGAUUUAUUAAACAGAAGACCUUUUGCUAUUUACUAGGCGGUCGAUUUGUGGUGGAAAGAACUGAAGCUGUUAUGAUGCCCCCUUUUAUAGUCUAGCUCUCGGAACACUCAGAGCUGCCAACAGGCAUAGGCUCACACUCCAACUUCUAGGCACCACUUCUAGAGGUUUCUGCUGGUCCUGCUGCACCAGUGAUGUGUCCCCCAGUAGUGUGGGUAUACAAAGGCUGUUCAAGGACUCUAGUCAGUGGACCUAGAUGAUAUAGAGGAUGAAAAUGAGCAAUUAAAGCAGGAAAAUAAGACCCUCUUAAAAGUUGUUGGACAGCUGACAAGGUAGAAGAUUCAAACCUCAAUGAGGAGAGAGAUUUAAAAACUACUGAUUGAUAAAGUCAACAUUACAGUAAUACUUCCUGUGUUGCAGUAUGUUAAAAUAACCAAGUCUUUAUAUUUAUUAUUAGGAAACCAGAUGGAUGUUUAUUUUCAUAAUACAUUCUUUUUCAUUCAGUAAAAUGGCAUCAACUUUUGUGGGUAUUUUUAACCUUACCUUUCACAUCAAGAAUAAUUAACAAUUGAUAUCUUUCAAAAACAUUAAAUUCAUGAUUGUUGUAUUGGGUUUUGUCUUCUUACUACAUAUAAUCUGGUUAUAGUAGUUUAAAAAUCAGAGCGCCAGGAUCACUUUUGGUCUUUGUUGGGUGUAUAUUUUUUUCUUGAACGAAAGGAAGCAAUACAAAUAAGCUUUGUUUACACAGAUCCAAAAUAUAUAUAUUUUGGGAAAUAUUUUCAUUUUGUUUCGACCGCUGUAAAGUAUAGGUGCCUUAUUGAUGUGUAACAUUUUGCAGAUUGAUUACUUGUUCUAAAAUACAAAUCUUGUAUGUUGUGAGUUUUUUACUAUAUCUGAAAGACAGACCAUGUUUGAGUAGCGAUUUUCUUCUGUAUAGCAGUUGUCUUGGGGAAAAAUAAGUUUUUAUUAAAAUUCAAUAAAUCAACUGUAGUUACCAACAUUAAAUUUUUUUGUAACAUGUCUGUUGUGCACUAUAGUAUAUCAUAAUGCUUGUGCUUUAGCAGUGAAAUGCAAAUUUACUAUCCUACAGUAAGUUUGUUUUGUGUAUUGAGAAUAUAAACAAAGCCUGGAGCUUUCAUUUUGCAAAAGUAUUAAAACAUAAUUAUAUUUAAAUCUACCUAUUUUAAAUAUUUAGUGCUCAUAAUAAAUGAGUUUUAAGGGUUUUUAAAGCUGUGAUAAAGCUUGUUAGUUAUCAUGUAUGAAAGGGAAGUUUCAUAAAUUAUUUAGGCCUUUGAAAAACAUGAAGUAUGCGACAUACAAUAAAAACAUUGAAUCUUAAUUGCUGCUAGUGCGUAUGAAAAUUAAAGCUUGCAUAUGCAGUUAAUUUUAGCCACUUGGGGCAAUAUGCUAGCAUUGUUUUUUAGUACAAGAUGACACUUUCAUGAUAUAUAAACCACUGUCUUCAGUCACAAAUAAUUCUGGCCUAAAAAUUCUUGCUAGACUGAAACUUAUGCUUGGACUCAUCCCUGAUUUUAAAAAAUAUUUAAGGCGUUUGAGUUACAAAAUCAGCUUUAAAACCUUCCUGAAGUUCCGAGCAUUCUUCCUCUCAUAACUUGAAUAUACCAGAAUACAAAGUUUGAAACAUCUACAGUUUUUGUUGCCUUAAAAUAUAAAGAUAACAUUAAUACAUAAUGAUGGCCAUCUACAAAGAUUUGCCCAUAGCUUCCGUUUUGAGUUAAACAGUCUUUGUGUUUAAUGAGACUAAAGAAUUCUUAAUUUUUUAAAUCCAGGAAUUAUCACUCCAUGUUAGAUGCUUUGGUUUCAUUCUGAAUAUUGAACAGGUUACUUUGCUUUGUUUAUUUUGUAUUCCAAUGAGAGAGAAGAGAUUGAGAGCUUAAGAAGUAUUACACAGUACAUUUACCUUCUAAUGUGCUUGGAAGUUAGUGCUCACAGUAGGAGUGAGCCCACACAGUCUUACUCGGAGCUUAAAUCCUUAAUGCAGGGUUUAAUUGGCACAAGGGUGAAGAUCAUGAGUGAGCACUAAUCUAUAUCUUGGUCCAGCAAUAAUAAGUCCUUAAUUUGAUCACUUUUACAAAAUUGGAAAUUUAAACAUGUAGAGGUGGGGAAAGAACAACUUUAUAUAAUAGUCACACAUGUAAGUGGGCUUAAUGGAUCUGAACCGAACAUUGAAACUUUAUUUGAAAUAGCAUCUAUUUCCCUCUCCAUUUAAUCUGUAGGCAAAAUUUAAGGAUUUGUAGAGUGUGCUUCCAAAUUUAUAUUUGAUGUAAUACCAAGAAAAUUUAGAUGCUUAGUGUCAUACUCUGAACAUACAGAGACCAUAAUGUCAGAUAUAAACAGUUAUGAACUGGAUAUUUCUAAAUUAUAUUUCACAUAGAAUCACAGAAAAAUGUAGGGCAGGAAGUGAUCUCAGGAGGUCAUGUCGUCCAGUCCCCUAUGCUGUAACAAGACCAAGUAUAGUUAGACUAUUCCUGACAAGUGUGUGUCUAACCUGUCCUUUAAAACCUCCAAUGACGGAUUACGCAACCUCCUAGGGAAGCCUAUUCCAGUGCUUAACUAUCUUCUUAGUUAGAAAGUUUUUCCUUGUAUCUAACAUAAAUUUGUCUUGCUGCAGAUUAAGUCCAUUACUACUUGUUCUACUUUCAGUGGGACACAGAACAGUUGAUAACCAUCGUUGUUAUAACAGUCCAUAAUAUAUUUGAAGACUGUCAUCAGAUCACCCCUCAAGCUUCCUUUCUCAAAACUAAAUGUGCCCCCUUUUUUAACCUUUCCUCAAAGAUCAGGUUUUCUAAACCUUUUAUCAUUUUUGUUGCUGUCCUCUAGACCCUUUCCAGUUUUUCCACUUCCUUCUUAAAGUAUGGUGCACAGAACUGGACACAGUAGUCCAGCUGAGGCCUCAACAUGUGAAUAGAGUGGGACAAUUACCUUCUGUGUCUUAAAUACAACAUUCUUGUUAAUGCACCACAGAGUACUAGCCUUUUUCACAACUUCAUCAUAUUACUGACUUAGUCAAUGUGUGAUCCACUAUAACCCCCAGAUCUUUUUCAAAAGUACCUAGCCUGUUGUUCCCCAUUUUUGUAGUUGUUCAUUUGAUUUUUUUUUUUCUUCCCAAGUGUACACUUGUCUUUAUUGAAGUUAAUCCUGUUGGUUUCAGACUAAUGUUCCAAUUUGUCAAGAUCAUUUUGAAUUCUAAUUCUCGCCUCCAAAGUGCUUUCAAUCCCUCAUAAAUUGGUAUCAUUUGCAAAUUUUUUAUAAGCAUACUCUCCACUCCAUUCUCCAAGUCAUUAAUGAAAAUAAUGACUAGUACCGGACCCAGGACAGACCUCUACAAGAUCCUACUAGAUAUGUCCCAACAGUUGGAUAGCAAAUGAUUGAUAACUACUCUUGGAGUAAUUUUUUAACCAGUUGUGUACCCACCUUAUGGUAACUUCAUCUAGACCUCACUUCCUUAGUUUGCUUAUGAGAAUGUCAUGACUUAUUUAAAAGCCUUAUUAAAAUCAAGAUGUAUCAUAUCUGCAACUUGCCCCCAUCCAUUAGGCCAGUAACCCUGUGAAAGAAGUGUAUUAGGUUGGUUUGGCAUGAUUUGUUCUUGACAAAUCCAGGCUGGCUAUAACUUAUAACCCUAUUAUCCUCUGUGCAUAGAAAUUGCUUAAUAAUUAGUUCCAGUAUCUUUCCAGGUAUUGAAGUUAUGCUGACUGGCCUAAAAUUACCUAGGUCCUUUUUGUUCCCCUUUGUCCCCUAAGGGACCUCACCCGUUGUCUGUGAGUCCUUAAAGAUAAUCGCUAGCGGUUCUGAGAUUUCUUUGACUAGUUCUCUGAGUAACCUAGCGUGAUUUCCUUCAGGCCCUAAAUACAUCUAACUUAUCUAAAUAUUCUUUAACCCAUUCUUUCCUUAUUUUAGCUUCCUUUCUCCCCCACUUUUGUUAAUAUUGUUUUAAGUAUCUGGUCAUAAUUAACCUUUUAAGUGAUGACUGAAGGCAUUAAAAUAGUCCAUUAAACACUUCAGCCUUCUUGAUGUUGUCUGUUAUUAGCUCUCAUUCCCCAUUAAGUAGAGGACCUACACUUUGCUUCAUCUUUCUCGUUUCUUAUGUAUUUAUAGAAACUCUUCUUACUGUCAUUUUGUGCCUUAGCCUUUCUGAUUUUUGUCCCUAUAUCCUUGUGCUAUUCUUUUGUUACUCCUCCUUAGCAAUCUGUCGAUGUUUCCACUUUUUGUAUGUUUCCUUUUUGAUUUUCAGGUCAUUAAAGAACUCCUGAUGGAGGCGUAUUGGUCCUUUAUUCUUCUUCUGAGCUUUUCUUCGCAUCAGGAUAGUUUGCUCUUUUGUCUUUUAAUAUUGUCUCUUAGAUAAUCAUGUAUUUUCAGCCCAUGAAAGAAAACAAAGCAAAUGGACCAGUAUUUCUCUAUAUCUCAUUACCUCUUCAUAAAUUAACUUUUUUUAACGAAUUAAGUAAAAGAUAAUGGCUGAAGUUCACAAACAAUGUUUUUUCCUUUUGACACAUUUAAUUUGAGAGGGAUUUUUUAAUAGUAUGGGAGAAGUAUUUACAAUAGACUUCCCUGGGGGCUUUUGAGGUAAAGUUUUUAACAUCCUUGAAAAUGACUGUGCUUCAACUCAAUUACAGUGCCAUCAUUAAGUGUGGUCCCUUAAUACAAAUUGUGGGAGUUAGACAGAAAGUGGCUCAUGGCAUUAAUGUGGCUCUGCAUAAAUGCACACAUGUAAUACCCUGCAUGAUCUUACACAACUGCACCAUUAAGAUCACCCACACUUCAGUCAACUGUCCUGUAGAUCUUAAAUAUUUCCGGUGGAAAGUAUUUCAGUCACUGCAAAAAUUUAUGGUAAGUUACGGUAUUAUCAGGCUCUUGGCAGAAGUUUGGUAGUCUCGUUCUAUAGAAAAAUGAUGCAGUACUUAAACUGAUAAUAUUUGUGUAGCCAAUACUUUUUUAUCUUAGUAGGGUAUCCUUAAACUCAAACACACAGCAAGCUUUUAAUCUAAGUAGUUUGGGAGGGUGUUACUUUAGCUACUCUAGUAUAAGGACUUUUUGUUGAUCGUUUACAGUUUGUUUAUUUUCUCCUACCUACUUACUUACUGCUGGAUUGUUCGGAAUUAAUGUAGACUGGGGUGAGUUAAAUAUCAGGGACACUGAAAUUGAGCAAUAGCUUAAUAGGCCUUAAAGUGAAACCCCACCUCAUUUGGGAAGGUUGUAUGUUUCCUAAGCUGAUCUGGAUAUUUUGUAGUAAGGUGAACCUAACAUGCAAGAGGUUUGGUUUCGCUAAUGUUCUGAUAUAAAUUGUGCAAGUAAAUUUGUGAGACAGAUUUACGUACUUUCAUCUCUUAAAAAUGGGACCAAACUACAUAGACUUAACAUAUUUCUU
Non-coding RNA from Chrysemys picta bellii (western painted turtle), 6476 nucleotides. The record is from RefSeq and is a predicted model, not a curated record. Lineage: Eukaryota; Metazoa; Chordata; Testudines; Emydidae.